CCUACGGGAGGCAGCAGUAGGGAAUCUUCCACAAUGGGCGAAAGCCUGAUGGAGCAACGCCGCGUGGGUGAAGAAGGUCUUCGGAUCGUAAAACCCUGUUGUUAGAGAAGAAAGUGCGUGAGAGUAACUGUUCACGUUUCGACGGUAUCUAACCAGAAAGCCACGGCUAACUACGUGCCAGCAGCCGCGGUAAUACGUAGGUGGCAAGCGUUAUCCGGAUUUAUUGGGCGUAAAGGGAACGCAGGCGGUCUUUUAAGUCUGAUGUGAAAGCCUUCGGCUUAACCGGGGUAGUGCAUUGGAAACGGGUGGACUUGGGUGCAGAAGAGGAGGGUGGAACUCCAGGUGUGGCGGGGAAAUGCGUAGAUAUAUGGGAGAACACCAGUGGCGAAAGCGGCUCUCUGGUCUGUAACUGACGCUGGGAUUCGAGAGCGUGGGUAGCAAACAGGAUUAGAUACCCGGUAGUC
This 464-nucleotide ribosomal RNA is filed under the name uncultured bacterium. RNAcentral describes it as "partial 16S ribosomal RNA". It matches the Rfam family "Bacterial small subunit ribosomal RNA", at positions 338 to 795 of the family's 1533-position model. The record is from RNAcentral.